Punica granatum (pomegranate) is the source of this 117-nucleotide non-coding RNA. NCBI's taxonomy places the organism in Eukaryota, Viridiplantae, Streptophyta, Magnoliopsida, Myrtales, Lythraceae. The record is from Rfam.
CUGCUCCCUAGAGUUCCCUUCGAGCACUUCACUGGGGCUAUGUGUUCAAUUUCCCUUCCCUUACCGAUCAGUAGUUCAUGGCCCUACUGAAGUGUUUGGGGGAACUCUGGGUGGCAU